ACUCGAUUCUGUAGCCGGCUCUGCCAAGAGACAUGGCGUUGCGGUGAUAUGAGGGCAGGGGUCAUGGAAGAAAGCCUUCUGGUUUUAGACCCACAGGAAGAUCUGUGACGCGCUCUUGGGUAGAGCACACGUUGCUGGGCGUGCGCUUGAAAAGAGCCUAAGAAGAGGGGGCGUCUGGAAGGAACCGCAACGCCAAGGGAGGGUGUCCAGCCUUCCCGCUUCAACACCUGGACACAUUCUGGAAAGUUUCCUAAGAAAGCCAGAAAAAUAAUUUAAAAAAAAAUCCAGAGGCCAGACGGGCUAAUGGGGCUUUACUGCGACUAUCUGGCUUAAUCCUCCAAACAACCUUGCCAUACCAGCCCAUCAGUCCUCUGAGACAGAUGAGGCCUCACUCUGUCACCCAGGUUGGGGUGGAGUGGCACAGUCACAGCUCACUAUAACCUCAAGCUCCUGGGCUCAAGUGAUCCUGCCACCUCAGCCUCCUAAGUAGCUGGAACUACAGAUGUGCACUGCCAUGCCAGGCUUGUCUAACAUUUUUAUGUGUUGCUUCAUCCAGUUUGCUAGAGUUUUUGGAGAUUUCUGUCUU
This 586-nucleotide long non-coding RNA is filed under the name Homo sapiens (human). Its description in RNAcentral is "HSALNT0392309". The record is from RNAcentral. Lineage: Eukaryota; Metazoa; Chordata; Mammalia; Primates; Hominidae.